UACGUAGGUGGCAAGCGUUGUCCGGAUUUAUUGGGUUUAAAGGGUGCGUAGGCGGUCUAUUAAGUCAGUGCUGAAAUAUCCCGGCUUAACCGGGAGGGUGGCAUUGAUACUGAUGGACUUGAGUAAAGUUGAGGUUGGCGGAAUUGACGGUGUAGCGGUGAAAUGCUUAGAUAUCGUCAAGAACACCUAUUGCGAAGGCAGCUAACUAAGCUUAAACUGACGCUGAGGCACGAAAGUGUGGGGAUCAAACCGG
RNAcentral lists this ribosomal RNA (253 nucleotides) under uncultured bacterium. RNAcentral describes it as "partial 16S ribosomal RNA". It matches the Rfam family "Bacterial small subunit ribosomal RNA", at positions 524 to 776 of the family's 1533-position model. The record is from RNAcentral.